GCCAGGCACAGUUGCGCAUGCCUGUACUCCAAGUGGCUUGGGAGGCUGAGGCAGGAGGUUUGUGAGUUCAAAGUCAGUCUCAGCAAUUUAGCGAGGCACUUAGCAACUCAGCAAGAUUCUGUCUCUA
RNAcentral lists this small RNA (127 nucleotides) under Marmota monax (woodchuck). The record is from RNAcentral. Lineage: Eukaryota; Metazoa; Chordata; Mammalia; Rodentia; Sciuridae.